CGAUGCUACCAUGCAGUCGAACGGUGUCUUCGGACAUAGUGGCGGACGGGUGAGUAACGCGUGAGAAUCUGCCUUCAGGAUGGGGACAACAGUUGGAAACGACUGCUAAAACCCGAUGUGCCGAAAGGUGAAAUAUUUAUAGCCUGAAGAGGAGCUCGCGUCAGAUUAGCUAGAUGGUGGGGUAAGAGCCUACCAUGGCGACGAUCUGUAGCUGGUCUGAGAGGAUGAGCAGCCACACUGGGACUGAGACACGGCCCAGACUCCUACGGGAGGCAGCAGUGGGGAAUUUUCCGCAAUGGGCGAAGGCCUGACGGAGCAAUACCGCGUGAGGGAGGAAGGCUCUUGGGUUGUAAACCUCUUUUCUCAAGGAAGAAAAAAAAUGACGGUACUUGAGGAAUCAGCAUCGGCUAACUCCGUGCCAGCAGCCGCGGUAAUACGGAGGAUGCAAGCGUUAUUCGGAAUUAUUGGGCGUAAAGCGUCCGCAGGUGGCACUUCAAGUCUGCUGUCAAAGACAGAAGCUUAACUUCUGGUCGGCAGUGGAAACUGAAGAGCUAGAGUACGGUAGGGGCAGAGGGAAUUUCCAGUGUAGCGGUGAAAUGCGUAGAGAUUGGAAAGAACACCAGUGGCGAAGGCGCUCUGCUGGGCCUGUACUGACACUGAGGGACGAAAGCUAGGGGAGCGAAAGGGAUUAGAUACCCCUGUAGUCCUAGCUGUAAACGAUGGAUACUAGGCGUAGCUUG
Molecule: ribosomal RNA, 740 nt
Filed under: uncultured bacterium
Lineage: Bacteria
Description: bacterial SSU rRNA
Rfam family: Bacterial small subunit ribosomal RNA
Source: RNAcentral